UACGUAGGCAGCGAGCGUUGUUCGGAGUUACUGGGCGUAAAGGGUGCGUAGGCGGUUGUUUAAGUUUGGUGUGAAAUCUCCCGGCUCAACUGGGAGGUGCGCCGAAUACUGAAUGACUAGAGUGCGGGAGAGGAUAGUGGAAUUCCUGGUGUAGCAGUGAAAUGCGUAGAUAUCAGGAGGAACACCGAUGGCGAAGGCAGGUCUCUGGGCUGACACUGACGCUCAUGCACGAAAGCGUGGGGAGCAAACAGG
This 252-nucleotide ribosomal RNA is filed under the name uncultured bacterium. RNAcentral's name for it is "partial 16S ribosomal RNA". It matches the Rfam family "Bacterial small subunit ribosomal RNA", at positions 524 to 776 of the family's 1533-position model. The record is from RNAcentral.